RNAcentral lists this ribosomal RNA (422 nucleotides) under Benthana taeniata. Its description in RNAcentral is "bacterial SSU rRNA". It matches the Rfam family "Eukaryotic small subunit ribosomal RNA", at positions 81 to 420 of the family's 1831-position model. The record is from RNAcentral. Lineage: Eukaryota; Metazoa; Arthropoda; Malacostraca; Isopoda; Philosciidae.
GCGAAACCGCGAAUGGCUCAUUAAAUCAGUCAUAAUUCAUUGGAUGUUAUAAAAUCCUUACUCGGAUAACUGUGGUAAUUCUAGAGCUAAUACGUGCAACUAAGCCCCGACCCCGGUCGGCGUCUUUCGCGAGCCGUUCGGUCCGGGGGAAGGGCGCAUUUGUUAGACCAAAAACCGGGUGGAAAGUAAGGGUUCGAGGCUUCUCGCUUCUUUCCCCCAAAUCCUCCAAUUACGGUUAAAAUUGGUGACUCUGGAUAACUUCCGCUGAGCGCUGAGGCCAUAGUGCCGACGCCGUAUCCUUCGAGUGUCUGCCUUAUCAGCUCUCGAUUGUAGGUUAUUCGCCUACAAUGGCUGUAACGGGUAACGGGGAAUCAGGGUUCGAUUCCGGAGAGGGAGCCUGAGAAACGGCUACCACAUCCAAG